This 401-nucleotide small RNA is filed under the name Vigna angularis var. angularis. RNAcentral's name for it is "Non-protein coding transcript". Lineage: Eukaryota; Viridiplantae; Streptophyta; Magnoliopsida; Fabales; Fabaceae. The record is from RNAcentral.
CUUGGUGGGAGGUGAACGAAAAUCCUAAGUGUUCUAAGUGUGGAGACUGACUUGGUCUAGCAAGGAGGAGAGGAAUUGCUCUCUUUGAAGAAGAGAGAUUUAAGUUAGAAUUUUCUUUGAAAUUGAAAGUGAAAACAAGCAAAGGUGGUGGUCUAGAGGUAUCAAGAGUGAAGAAUUUCUUGCAAGGAGAAGAGAAACUAUUUCAGAUGAAUUAGCAGAUGGUUCUGGACUUGCUUAGAAGAUGAGAGAUCUGUGGGAAAAAGGAGACAUGGGGAAUUUCUAAAAUAAAUCUAUGUUUGAAUUUCCGAACUGUGUGAAAUUUUUAAUUUCAGAAGUUUAUGAACUGUGUGGAAUUUUAUUUUCAGAAGACUUGUGUUGUAAUAAAGAACGUAAUAUUUUAU